RNAcentral lists this long non-coding RNA (348 nucleotides) under Brassica rapa (field mustard). RNAcentral describes it as "long non-coding RNA (BRAP_LNC007077)". Lineage: Eukaryota; Viridiplantae; Streptophyta; Magnoliopsida; Brassicales; Brassicaceae. The record is from RNAcentral.
CCAACUAAGAUAUUUUAUAAACGCCAAAUAUUUUAUACACUUGUAAGAUAUUUUACAAUCCGGAUACAGUGUUAAUAAUUAUUUGAGAUACUUGAAGUAAUAAGAUAAUGAAACCGGAGUGUUCAUAAUUAUUUUUCGGGCCCUUCGAAACCUUUAAUUACAAUAUGUAUAUAUGUUAUGGUUAUAGUUUCACUAGUUAUUAAAUAAUAACUACACUAUACUUACGGGACAAGACUGACGGGAUCUUGAAGUCGCUUGGUUGUUGGUAUGAAGAAGAGGUGCACCUGGAGGAAGGUUAGAUUUAUCAUGAUGGGAGAGUGCAUCCGUUCCCUGUCAAAUAAUGAAAUU